UGUAAAGUGGCUGAGUUAAAAGCGGUGGAUUGUAAAUCUGCUUACAGAAAGUUUUCUCUUUAUUA
RNAcentral lists this transfer RNA (65 nucleotides) under Perumytilus purpuratus. Its description in RNAcentral is "tRNA-Tyr". The record is from RNAcentral. Lineage: Eukaryota; Metazoa; Mollusca; Bivalvia; Mytilida; Mytilidae.